RNAcentral lists this ribosomal RNA (578 nucleotides) under uncultured bacterium. Its description in RNAcentral is "partial 16S ribosomal RNA". It matches the Rfam family "Bacterial small subunit ribosomal RNA", at positions 355 to 926 of the family's 1533-position model. The record is from RNAcentral.
UGGGGAAUUUUGGACAAUGGGCGAAAGCCUGAUCCAGCAAUGCCGCGUGUGUGAAGAAGGCCUUCGGGUUGUAAAGCACUUUUGUCCGGAAAGAAAUCCUUGGCUCUAAUACAGUCGGGGGAUGACGGUACCGGAAGAAUAAGCACCGGCUAACUACGUGCCAGCAGCCGCGGUAAUACGUAGGGUGCAAGCGUUAAUCGGAAUUACUGGGCGUAAAGCGUGCGCAGGCGGUUUGCUAAGACCGAUGUGAAAUCCCCGGGCUCAACCUGGGAACUGCAUUGGUGACUGGCAGGCUAGAGUAUGGCAGAGGGGGGUAGAAUUCCACGUGUAGCAGUGAAAUGCGUAGAGAUGUGGAGGAAUACCGAUGGCGAAGGCAGCCCCCUGGGCCAAUACUGACGCUCAUGCACGAAAGCGUGGGGAGCAAACAGGAUUAGAUACCCUGGUAGUCCACGCCCUAAACGAUGUCAACUAGUUGUUGGGGAUUCAUUUCCUUAGUAACGUAGCUAACGCGUGAAGUUGACCGCCUGGGGAGUACGGUCGCAAGAUUAAAACUCAAAUGAAUUGACGGGGUAUAGCUG